This 285-nucleotide long non-coding RNA is filed under the name Neogobius melanostomus (round goby). Its description in RNAcentral is "lncRNA (ENSNMLG00000018033.1)". The record is from RNAcentral. Lineage: Eukaryota; Metazoa; Chordata; Actinopteri; Gobiiformes; Gobiidae.
CAGCUCGUGCUCCGAGUGCACCGGCCCCUCGGAGUCAGACUGUGGGUCCUGCUCGCACCUGGCGGCUCUGCUCCAACUCGGACGCUGCGUCUCUCAGUGCGGGGACGGCUUCUACAGCCAGGACGGCGUCUGCUACGGCCAAGUUCCUUCACAAGGACCACAACAUUAAUGAAAAAGCAAGAUGACGAAGGCAAAUAAUAUUAUGUUGCCGUUUUGGGGCUUUGUAGGAGACAACGACGAGCUCUCGGGCUUUCAUCCUCACUGACCUAAAAAAUAGAAGGAAUG